Amblyraja radiata (thorny skate) is the source of this 205-nucleotide long non-coding RNA. RefSeq lists it as uncharacterized. The transcript is spliced from 3 exons. The record is from RefSeq and is a predicted model, not a curated record. Lineage: Eukaryota; Metazoa; Chordata; Chondrichthyes; Rajiformes; Rajidae.
AUUGAUUUACGUAAAGCAUUUGAUACAAUUGAUCAUUCCUUACUUUUGCAGAAAUUGGAACGUUUUGGUAUAAUAGGUGUCACACAAAAUUGGUUGGGAAGUUAUUUAAGUAAUAGGUUUCAGUAUGUAAAAAUUAAUAAUACUGAAUCACAGCUUAGAAGAAGUAAAGACUGGAUAGACUCGGCUUGUACUCGCUAGAAUUUAG